UGAAGAAUUAUUGUAACUAUUAGUGGACAUCUGAACAAUUUGUGCCUAGGAGGGUUGCUCGUGAUUAUGAAUUGGCUAUCAGGGUUUUGGUAGUCGAAAUAAAUGCUUUGUCUCAAAAAAUUGACACUUGGUGUGUGAAUGUUUUUCAAAGUCCUUUCGUGGCAUGUGAGCUUUAUGGAGAUAGGCAUUCAAGUGAUUAUUG
Molecule: long non-coding RNA, 202 nt
Filed under: Theobroma cacao (cacao)
Lineage: Eukaryota; Viridiplantae; Streptophyta; Magnoliopsida; Malvales; Malvaceae
Description: long non-coding RNA (TCAC_LNC004847)
Source: RNAcentral